GACGAACGCUGGCGGCGUGCUUAACACGUGCAAGUCGAACGGAAAGGCCCUGCUUUUGUGGGGUGCUCGAGUGGCGAACGGGUGAGUAACACGUGAGUAACCUGCCCUUGACUUUGGGAUAACUUCAGGAAACUGGGGCUAAUACCGGAUAGGAGCUCCUGCUGCAUGGUGGGGGUUGGAAAGUUUCGGCGGUUGGGGAUGGACUCGCGGCUUAUCAGCUUGUUGGUGGGGUAGUGGCUUACCAAGGCUUUGACGGGUAGCCGGCCUGAGAGGGUGACCGGCCACAUUGGGACUGAGAUACGGCCCAGACUCCUACGGGAGGCAGCAGUGGGGAAUAUUGCACAAUGGGCGGAAGCCUGAUGCAGCAACGCCGCGUGCGGGAUGACGGCCUUCGGGUUAUAAACCGCUUUCGCCUGUGACGAAGCGUGAGUGACGGUAAUGGGUAAAGAAGCACCGGCUAACUACGUG
RNAcentral lists this ribosomal RNA (468 nucleotides) under uncultured bacterium. RNAcentral describes it as "partial 16S ribosomal RNA". It matches the Rfam family "Bacterial small subunit ribosomal RNA", at positions 28 to 507 of the family's 1533-position model. The record is from RNAcentral.